AAUAAUGGAGGUAAGGACGACGGUGGGGUUUCAGUUGGCUCCACGGUCGGGUCUUUGGUGGGGUCCGCAGCCGCUGGCGUUGCACCUGGGGGCUUCUGGGCGGUGCCUGCCAGGCCUGAUUUCUGGGGUUUCGCUGCUGCAGCCCCGCCGGAAAUGGUUGUGCAGCCGGCUGCAGUGGCAGCGCCGCAGUCGGCGCUCUUCGGUCAGCAACAUGCAGCGGCAGCAGCAGCAGCAGCAGCUAUGGGAGAGGCAUCCGCGG
Molecule: unclassified non-coding RNA, 259 nt
Filed under: Hevea brasiliensis (rubber tree)
Lineage: Eukaryota; Viridiplantae; Streptophyta; Magnoliopsida; Malpighiales; Euphorbiaceae
Source: RNAcentral